UAGGGAAUCUUCCGCAAUUGGCGAAAGCCUGACGGAGCAACGCCGUGUGAGUGAUGAAGGUCUUCGGAUCGUAAAACUCUGUUAUUAGGGAAGAACAAAUGUGUAAGUAACUAUGCACGUCUUGACGGUACCUAAUCAGAAAGCCACGGCUAACUACGUGCCAGCAGCCGCGGUAAUACGUAGGUGGCAAGCGUUAUCCGGAAUUAUUGGGCGUAAAGCGCGCGUAGGCGGUUUUUUAAGUCUGAUGUGAAAGCCCACGGCUCAACCGUGGAGGGUCAUUGGAAACUGGAAAACUUGAGUGCAGAAGAGGAAAGUGGAAUUCCAUGUGUAGCGGUGAAAUGCGCAGAGAUAUGGAGGAACACCAGUGGCGAAGGCGGCUCUCUGGUCUGUAACUGACGCUGAGGCUCGAAAGCGUGGGGAGCGAACAGG
Molecule: ribosomal RNA, 429 nt
Filed under: Bacteroidota bacterium
Lineage: Bacteria; Pseudomonadati; Bacteroidota
Description: Bacteroidetes bacterium partial 16S ribosomal RNA
Rfam family: Bacterial small subunit ribosomal RNA
Source: RNAcentral